Lolium perenne is the source of this 3632-nucleotide long non-coding RNA. RefSeq lists it as uncharacterized. The record is from RefSeq and is a predicted model, not a curated record. NCBI's taxonomy places the organism in Eukaryota, Viridiplantae, Streptophyta, Magnoliopsida, Poales, Poaceae.
CAACUACUAACUUGUUGGAUCUCGAUUCAUGGCUAUUGGGGAGUCCCGCCUCGUGGCUGGGGGGUUGGUAUUGGUAGGGGUGAUUGGGGAGCGAAAAAAAUCUUGCAGUUCUGGAUGUAAUUUGGCGCGAGUGGCUUCAUGAUUGGGCUCCCGAUGGAUCCGUCCCUGUUUUUCUAUACAUGUGGGAUUUCCAGACAAGGGUACUCCAUACAACGCAAUUACAAUUCAUGAUAGGAUGUGUUGAAUCCAUCCAAGUUGGGACACUAGAAAAGGGAGAUCUCCCGUUUCUUCAGUUGUCUGAGUAGGCCAACGCAAUGCAACAAUUCAGUUAGUGCGCUAUUUUUCGUUCAUAAUCAGUGUUUGCAAAAAAGGAGAUCUUCCGUUUCUUCAGGGAGCUCCUCAACAUGCAUUCUCUCUAGACCAAGCGAAUGGGUGGAUGAUGUCUGAUCCCUCUAGGUUUAGUUUUGUCUCAAGUCAUUUGAAAUCGAGAUAUGAAAUUGAGCAGCUUUUGUCUGGCUCCGUGCUUCGUGGUAGUCUUAUGCAGGUUACAUAACUUUUUUGGUUUCUCCGCUGUGCUGUGCAGGUUUCUUAUCUAUUUUGGUUGCUACUUAAAAAAAAAUACUGUCAUUAGUUUGUCGUAAUAUUAAACAUGUGAGUAUAGGUUCUUUUUUCGAGAGGGAAAGCUCAUAUAUUACUCAUAACCAAGGUUUACAUCAUCUUUCUUCUCUAGAUCAACGAUAACAUAUGGCACUAGUUCAAACCAGCGGUUACACACACCUGAACUACUAGUUUGUUUGGCAAGUGAGUGAGCUACAGAGUUGAGCUUUCUCCUAACAUUUGAGACAGAGCAUUCACGGAACAGAGUUUUAGCUUCAGCAAUACCCUUGUAAAUACUCCAUAUAUGUGAUUGGUUUGGAGCAGAGCUAGCAGAAGCUACCACUGUCACGGAAUUGUACGACUCCAGCGACAGAUUCGUAAGCUUCAAACUUAGCAUCAAAGGUUCUUUAGAUAUUAUAUUUCAGUCGUCAUUGCACACUUUCAUAGCUUACAUUAUGUUUUAACCCUAUAUUAUACUUUGAUAUAUGGUGCGGCAUAACACUCCAUCGUAUUAGCUUAACGUGCAUAACUCUCCUUCCUGCAAAAAAAAAACUCCACAACAGAUCAUGAUGCCCACAAUCUGUUUGAUCGGUGCUCAAUUUCAUCUGAUGUUGCAUUUUCUUGUGGAGCGAAAUGAGUAGAGUGGUGCACAUCACCUGCUAAAUUUUACUUUGUGUUUCAUCUUCUAGCUUAGUUGGCUACCGAAUCAAAAUAAGUUGGGUCAUGAAUAUAGUUAAGUUGUUUACUGAAUCUAACUAAGUUGGCUUCUCAACCUAUACUUUUUUGGUUUAUUUAUGUGUUCAUCUUCUAGUCUACUUGAUUUGUCGAAUGUAACUAAGUUGGCUUCUAAACACAUAGUUUUAAAGCUGGUCACUGAACCUAACUAAGUUUGGCUCCUCAACCUUUUAUGUGUUUUCAUCUUAUAGGUUAGUUGGUUACUGUAUCUUACUAAGUUGUCUUAUGAAACAUGGCUAAGUUUGGUUACUGAAUCUAAAUUUUUAACUUUUUCUCAACAUUUUAAACUAUGUUUUGUUUUCGUGUCUCGUCUUCUAGGUUAGUUGGUUACUUAUAAUUAAGUUGGCCUCUGAACACAAUUAAGGUUGGUUACUAAAUCUGGUUAAGUUGCAUACUAACGUGAACAUAGUAGUUUUCUCACAAUGAAUUGAAAUCUCUCCCUUUUUCAUUGCAAAUGUGAGGUUAAGUUGGCUUCUGAACGCGACUAAGUUUGAUUUCAUCUUCUAGUUAUGUUAGGUUACCGAAUCAAACCAACUAUCUUUGUGUCUCAUCUUCUAGGAUAGUUGGUUUUUGAAUUUAAUCAAGUUGGCUUCUCAACAUGGCUAAGUUUACUUAUUUAAUCUGCCUAAGUUGGCUAGUCAACAUUUUAGCUUUAGGUUUAUUCUUUCAGUCUCAUCAUCUAGGAUAAUUGGUCAUUGUUUUGUGUUCUUUUUUUGGUAAAAACUUUGUUCUUGCUGAUCUGGGGAAGUUGCAUGUUUCAGUCAUGUGCUUGGAUCCAUGGAGAUUUGGAGGAAGAACAAGUACUAGAUUUGUUGAUAUUUGUGCUAGAAGGAGAGAGGGAGAGGGGGUACGGUGGUAAUUAUUGGGCUAGUGAAGGGGCGGCACACUAUGGGAAUCUUAGUUUUAACAUGUUGGAAACCUGGCAGUGUCAAAUUUGUAAUCACAAACCUGGGAUAUGUUUCUUACUCUUUUUUUAUGGGGUAGUAUGCAACUAUGUAAUAUGUAUGCAGCUUGAUCCUGCUCACUUGAUGCAGGUAUGCCACUAACUUGUAACUACACUUCAGCUAAGUUGCCUGAAGUUUCAGUUUUGUUUUUUUCCCUAUGGGAAUCUAUGGGGUAGGUACAACUAAAUUUCUGGGUAUUAACCUGGAAUUUUGCAUGAUCUAAGUUGCUGAUCCUUUCUUAUUUUGUUGUUGUGUUACUUGCAUCGAUAUAAUCUACAAUAAAACAAGUUGCUUAACUUAUAUGAUUUGUUAGUACCCAUGUAUGUUAUUAUUUUUGUUCCUAAUAUCCCAAUUGUAUGUAAAAUCCAGUCCUUGUCCCAGGUUGGUCAAAGCUAAAGAGCUAAGCUGUCGUAGAUUUUUAUAAGCGAUUUUCAUGUGUGUAUCCUAUUUGUUUUUUACUAGUGUUGUUUUAUUGGUUUUAGUACUGCCUUUACUAGUUCUUAUUGGAGAUCUAAGUUGCUCUAAGUUCUAGGUUUGGUUUUUGCAAGCAAAAUAGUCCAGAUUUGUGCCUGGGGUGUUUCAGUAGGUUCUAUCCCAUGGUCUAACUGUUGUUCUUUUAGCUAUACAACAAAUGACUAAAGAGGAUGCCAAUCGGUCCUCCGUGCUUGUUUUCCGCCGUAAUUAGCUUCUUUGUAAGCCCUACAACAACAUCUACCAUCAUUCCUAGGUGUUACCGAGGGAGUAUUGGCUAACAUGUUUUUUUUUGCACAAAAUAGCUAAAAGAAGGUGUUGGUGCCACCAUAAGAGACGGUCUUUUUGUUGGGAUGACGAGCACUGAAGAGUUUGUAUCUUCAAACUUACCAUGGAGCUUUUUCCAAUGAGACCUGAGGAGCAACUCACUUGCUAGCGGGAGCAACUCCAAUAUACUCAAUGAAAUCAGUGCAUUGUGUGCAACUGAAAAUUGUGUUUGCCUGAACUUGGAGGUGCUCCAUGGCGAUUCUUGGAGAUACGGAGGAGGGAGAAGAGCUAGAUUAGAGAGCUAGAUUAGUUUGUCUCUGCACAAGUAUCUUGGGGAUAGGGGAGGAGGGCGAGAGAGAGAGGGCUUCCGUGGUGGUUGUAUUUUUGGCGCGCUGGGUUUGGUCGGCCAUGCAAGGCUGUCAGCCACUUUUACUGACGUGUUUGCGGUGGUUGGUACGUACAUUGAUUGAGUGCUAGGUCAAACAAACCAGCACCCGGAUGCUGGGAUUGAAAAACCAGCACCGGAUGCCACCUAGCCGGGUCCAAUUCUAAACAUACAUUGUGUUGUAUCUUGUGUAUCUGUGAAGUUUCAUCCAAAAAAUGAGAGUUUCCCCUGUC